Molecule: long non-coding RNA, 1193 nt
Filed under: Anas platyrhynchos platyrhynchos (common mallard)
Lineage: Eukaryota; Metazoa; Chordata; Aves; Anseriformes; Anatidae
Description: lncRNA (ENSAPLG00000030905.1)
Source: RNAcentral
UAAUGCAGCUAAGGUUUCCUGGCAAAAUUCAGUGUUUUUUUUUUUUUUUUUAAGACUGAUAGUCAUGCUUAAAUCCUUCAUGUACAAGAUCUCUUCUUCAGCCAUACCUUGCCUCUGCUCUCCCUAUACAAUGAGUGUAAUGCUGCUCUGACAGCGAAGUGAGAAUUCAUUAGCAUCACCAUAACUAAUACAAAAGUAGGACAAAAUACUGGUUGAAAUCCAAGACCCAAGCGUGAACUUGCCUGCAGAGAUGCUCGAAAAUGCUGCGUAAAAUAUGGCUGCCUGGAGAGUUGGACAUGACCACCCAGGAACUCCCUUUGUGUAUUGUGCCCUGAGUUCCUAACUACAAAGCUUUUCACUUGUAUUGUCUACCAAAUGCAUGUGUAGUUUGAAACUGAAAUAUCUGAAAAUCAUCUCCUGAUUUUAUUGGCCUGAAAGAAGGGUCUGUUCAUUUUGUUAUAGAUCUGACAGAUGUCUCAAGUGUGAAGAAUAAGCAGGAAGCUUAUAAGGCAUAUAUGAUGAAUUCCAAACAUCACUGUUUUGCUUUCCCCCAUCAACAUAAUAGCUAUAAACUAGUAUUUUGACUAGUUUGACAAACUAAUUUGAAUUUGUACUUUCAGAAGCCACAAUGAUGCGUGGAGUCAGCGUGUGAAGAAUCAGGGCCUAUUAACGCUCUUCCGCUCUGGUCAUGCAGGUUUAUUGGACAGUUAUACAACACUUCAAGGUCUUUCAUCUUUUUCUGCCUGUCCAUUUACAUCAAGCCCAAGAGAGCAGACAAAGCUGUCACUAACCAGCAAGCUGUGUGAGGGAAGCCAGGAUGCAAUGACUUGCUCUGCUUUGGCGAUUGAAGGAACAGCGCCUGACUAAUGACACUGGACAGCAAGGAAAUGCAGUUGUCCUGGAAGACCAGGCAGGUACAUUAGGGAUGGCGUUCAUUGUGUUUUGUAUUUGCAAGGGGGAGCUUGUGUGAAUCCAGGCAUUGUGGAUACCAGCAUCUCCUGGCAAAAGGUUUAUAAACCCUAGCAGUCGUCUUGAUGCAAGGAUUCAUUCUGGUGGGCCUGCUGGGAGCACUGGCUGUGUCCAGAGUUAUGCAUGCUUAAUGAUUUCCCUUGUCAAUAUUUUUAGUGGGCUGCUUUCCCAGGACCAUUUCACCUACCAGCACCUUCUAUCCUUUCCAUCUUCAUAGUUGCUUU